RNAcentral lists this transfer RNA (74 nucleotides) under Strongylocentrotus purpuratus (purple sea urchin). It matches the Rfam family "tRNA". Rfam says of the family: Transfer RNA (tRNA) molecules are approximately 80 nucleotides in length. Their secondary structure includes four short double-helical elements and three loops (D, anti-codon, and T loops). Lineage: Eukaryota; Metazoa; Echinodermata; Echinoidea; Camarodonta; Strongylocentrotidae. The record is from Rfam by way of RNAcentral.
GGUGUUGUGGUCUAGUGGAUAAGUCAUUUGAUUUAGAACCAAAGGGUAUAGAGGUUCGAACCCCUGUUACAACA